GGAAUAUUGCACAAUGGGGGGAACCCUGAUGCAGCGACGCCGCGUGGGUGAUGACGGCCUUCGGUGUAAGCCUUUGUCCACUGACGAGAACGGACGGUAGGUGGCGAAUAAGCCUCGGCUAACUACGUGCCAGCAGCCGCGGUAAAACGUAGGAGGCGAGCGUUAUCCGGAGUUACUGGGCGUAAAGCGUGCGCAGGCGGUGCCAUAAGUCAGGUGUGAAAGGUUCCGGCUCAACCGGGAAAACGCGCUUUGAGACUGUGGGACUAGAGUGGGAUAGAGGGACGUGGAAUUCCGGGUGGAGCGGUGAAAUGUGUAGAGAUCCGGAGGAACACCAGAGGCGCAAGCGGCGUCCUGGGUCCCAACUGACGCUGAGGCACGAAAGCUUGGGGAGCGAACGGGAUUAGAGACCCCGGUAGUCCAAGCCGUAAACGAUGCAGACUCGGUGUCCACUCUCGCAAGGGAGGGGGCGCCACAGCUAACGCGAUAAGUCUGCCGCCUGGGGAGUACGGUCGCAAGACUAAAAACUCAAAAGGAAUUGACGGG
RNAcentral lists this ribosomal RNA (543 nucleotides) under uncultured bacterium. RNAcentral describes it as "bacterial SSU rRNA". It matches the Rfam family "Bacterial small subunit ribosomal RNA", at positions 358 to 917 of the family's 1533-position model. The record is from RNAcentral.